This 484-nucleotide ribosomal RNA is filed under the name uncultured bacterium. RNAcentral describes it as "partial 16S ribosomal RNA". It matches the Rfam family "Bacterial small subunit ribosomal RNA", at positions 30 to 507 of the family's 1533-position model. The record is from RNAcentral.
AUUGAACGCUGGCGGCAGGCCUAACACAUGCAAGUCGAGCGGAUGAAGGGAGCUUGCUCCUGGAUUCAGCGGCGGACGGGGGAGUAAUGCCUAGGAAUCUGCCUGGUAGUGGGGGAUAACGUCCGGAAACGGGCGCUAAUACCGCAGACGUCCUGAGGGAGAAAGUGGGGGAUCUUCGGACCUCACGCUAUCAGGUGGGCCUAGGUCGGAUUAGCUAGUUGGUGGGGUAAGGGCCUACCAAGGCGACGAUCCGUAACUAGUCUGAGAGGAUGAUCAGUCACACUGGAACUGAGACACGCUCCAGACUCCUACGGGAGGCAGCAGUGGGGAAUAUUGGACAAUGGGCGAAAGCCUGAUCCAGCCAUGCCGAGUGUGUGAAGAAGGUCUUCGGAUUGUAAAGCAGUUUAAGUUGGGAGGAAGGGCAGUAAGUUAAUACCUUGCUGUUUUGACGUUACCAACAGAAUAAGCACCGGCUAACUUCGUG